RNAcentral lists this transfer RNA (76 nucleotides) under Leptotrichiaceae bacterium. RNAcentral's name for it is "tRNA-Thr". It matches the Rfam family "tRNA". Rfam says of the family: Transfer RNA (tRNA) molecules are approximately 80 nucleotides in length. The record is from RNAcentral. Lineage: Bacteria; Fusobacteriati; Fusobacteriota; Fusobacteriia; Fusobacteriales; Leptotrichiaceae.
GCCGCUUUAGCUCAUUUGGUAGAGCAGCUGACUUGUAAUCAGCAGGUGAUUGGUUCGAAUCCGAUAAGCGGCACCA